Molecule: ribosomal RNA, 279 nt
Filed under: uncultured bacterium
Lineage: Bacteria
Description: partial 16S ribosomal RNA
Rfam family: Bacterial small subunit ribosomal RNA
Source: RNAcentral
UGCCAGCCGCCGCGGUAAUACGGAGGGUGCAAGCGUUAAUCGGAAUUACUGGGCGUAAAGCGUGCGUAGGCGGUUUAUUAAGUCAGAUGUGAAAGCCCCGGGCUUAACCUGGGAACUGCAUUUGAAACUGGUCAACUAGAGUGUGGUAGAGGAAAGUGGAAUUUCUGGUGUAGCGGUGAAAUGCGUAGAUAUCAGAAGGAACAUCAAUGGCGAAGGCAGCUUUCUGGACCAAUACUGACGCUGAGGCACGAAAGCGUGGGUAGCAAACAGGAUUAGAUA